Molecule: long non-coding RNA, 549 nt
Organism: Quercus robur (English oak)
Lineage: Eukaryota; Viridiplantae; Streptophyta; Magnoliopsida; Fagales; Fagaceae
Exons: 3
Source: RefSeq, a predicted model, not a curated record
GAAACGGGGAAAGAAGCAGAGAGGCGAUGAAAUAGAGUAUGAGGCCUGUGACACGGAGAAAGAAACAGAGAAAGGCGAAGAACUCUGCAUCGAUUCUGCAACUUUUAUGGUUUAAUCCAACCAAAAUCCCGAUCAUUACAACAUUUGAAAGCCCGAUUUACAGAGAGAGUGCUCCGUUCCCUCGCCAAACUUAGAGCAUCGCUGCAAGCAGAAAGAAAAAACUAUGGGCGUCAACCCCGUUACGCUAUAUAUCUGCCACCAUCAGAUCGUCGGAACCGGUUCCGGUACCAGCAGUUGGUAUUCCAGCACCAAAAAGGGCUCAACCUCUUGGUACCAUCUCUGCUGCUUCUUGGGGUUCUGCACUUAUUUUGCCAAUUUCAUAUACAUACAUAGCCAUGAUGGGUUCUAAGGGACUCACUAAAGCCUCAAAGAUAGCAACCUUGAAUGCAAACUACAUGGCAAAACGUUUUGAGAGCCACUACCCCAUUCUUUUUCGAGGAGUCAAUGGAACAGUCGCCCAUGAAUUCAUCAUUGACUUGAGGGCUUUCA